RNAcentral lists this long non-coding RNA (956 nucleotides) under Mustela putorius furo (domestic ferret). Its description in RNAcentral is "lncRNA (ENSMPUG00000029253.1)". The record is from RNAcentral. Lineage: Eukaryota; Metazoa; Chordata; Mammalia; Carnivora; Mustelidae.
UGCUGCCGGGGGCGGGGGAAGAGCGGACGCCGGGAGGGAGGGGCGGGGCCGGAGAGGGUAAAAGUUAGGGGGGCAGGACUGGGUGGGGGACCCGGGAGGAGAAAGCGCAGUGGGCACGAGGGAAAGGGGAGUGGCCGAGGUGGGGCGGAGGAUGGUCCCGAGACUGUCAACAACCUUUAACGAGCCUCCUCGGCGUCUCCAGCCCAGUCCUACGCGCUGGGAGGGGUAAGGAAGAGCCGGACACGGUUCCUGUCCUCUAGGUGUUUACAGCCUAGCCGGAGAGACGACACAGAUGCAUAUUAAAUAGCUAAAACCAACUCCAGGGCAGCUUGUAAGCAAAGCUAUAAAAGAUUUAGAGAACGAGCCUAUCUGGAGUGUAUUGUAUUAGGAAAUUACACGCAAAGUUUGGAAGGUCAUGACCCCGAAGGAUCAGAAAGAUAAGCAAGCAUUAGUGGCCUCUCUGGUUUGGGUUUCAGAGGGACUCAGAGCUCCAUGAGGCUUAGUAUACAUGGCGAGAUGUGGGAUAGUGAGGUAGUUAGGGGUAGGGGCCGUGGAUUCCAAUUCCUGCUGCUGCCACUUACUAAUCUUAUAAAGGGAUUGGCCUUGGCUGCAAAAAGGUGCCUCACCCGUCCAAUGACUGCCCUUAAGGAGGAGCAAAGCCCAGCCUCUCACCUCCAUUCAGGAUCCCUCGAAAGGGGCACCCCAGCUUCAGAGCUUCUCCUGGGAUCAGCUGAGGUCUCCACCGGAACUGGGUCUUCACGGUUAAAUGCCCUCUGCCCACCUCUGCUGACCUUGCUCCCUGAUGGCACUUCUGGUAGGUGUCUUCACGCAGAUCUGAGCCUCUAAGUCUAUUUCCUGGGGAGUCUGACCCAUAAGCAUUGGUGCUGAGUGUGGUGGGAGGCAACAGACUCUAAAGUGGGUUCUAGAGCCUGCUCACUUGCCUGUUAAUGAGGAUC